Molecule: ribosomal RNA, 426 nt
Filed under: uncultured bacterium
Lineage: Bacteria
Description: bacterial SSU rRNA
Rfam family: Bacterial small subunit ribosomal RNA
Source: RNAcentral
GGGGGAAUAUUGCGCAAUGGUCGAAAGACUGACGCAGCGACGCCGCGUGUGGGAGGAAGCCCUUCGGGGUGUAAACCACUGUCGGGAGGGACGAAUGGCGGACGGGCAAAUAGCCCGGACGAUUGCCGGUACCUCCAAAGGAAGCACCGGCUAACUACGUGCCAGCAGCCGCGGUAAUACGUAGGGUGCAAGCGUUAAUCGGAAUUACUGGGCGUAAAGCGUGCGUAGGCGGUUUGUUAAGUCUGUCGUGAAAGCCCUGGGCUCAACCUGGGAAUUGCGAUGGAUACUGGCAAGCUAGAGUACGGUAGAGGAUGGUGGAAUUCCCGGUGUAGCGGUGAAAUGCGUAGAGAUCGGGAGGAACACCCGUGGCGAAGGCGGCCAUCUGGACCAGUACUGACGCUGAGGCACGAAAGCGUGGGGAGCAAA